This 1287-nucleotide ribosomal RNA is filed under the name metagenome. Its description in RNAcentral is "bacterial SSU rRNA". It matches the Rfam family "Bacterial small subunit ribosomal RNA", at positions 242 to 1520 of the family's 1533-position model. The record is from RNAcentral.
UAGCUAGUUGGUGAGGUAAAGGCUUACCAAGGCGACGAUCUGUAGCGGGUCUGAGAGGAUGAUCCGCCACACUGGAACUGAGACACGGUCCAGACUCCUACGGGAGGCAGCAGUGGGGAAUUUCGGACAAUGGGGGCAACCCUGAUCCAGCCAUGCCGCGUGAGUGAAGAAGGCCUUCGGGUUGUAAAGCUCUUUCGGCCGGGAAGAAAUCGCAUGGGCCAAUACCCUGUGUGGAUGACGGUACCGGAAUAAGAAGCACCGGCUAACUACGUGCCAGCAGCCGCGGUAAUACGUAGGGUGCGAGCGUUAAUCGGAAUUACUGGGCGUAAAGCGUGCGCAGGCGGUUUUGUAAGACAGGCGUGAAAUCCCCGGGCUUAACCUGGGAACUGCGUUUGUGACUGCAAGGCUAGAGUACGGCAGAGGGGGGUGGAAUUCCACGUGUAGCAGUGAAAUGCGUAGAGAUGUGGAGGAACACCAAUGGCGAAGGCAGCCCCCUGGGUCGAUACUGACGCUCAUGCACGAAAGCGUGGGUAGCAAACAGGAUUAGAUACCCUGGUAGUCCACGCCCUAAACUAUGUCAACUAGGUGUUGGGUGGGUAAAACCAUUUAGUACCGUAGCUAACGCGUGAAGUUGACCGCCUGGGGAGUACGGCCGCAAGGUUAAAACUCAAAGGAAUUGACGGGGACCCGCACAAGCGGUGGAUGAUGUGGAUUAAUUCGAUGCAACGCGAAAAACCUUACCUACCCUUGACAUGCCAGGAACUUGCCAGAGAUGGCUUGGUGCCCGAAAGGGAGCCUGGACACAGGUGCUGCAUGGCUGUCGUCAGCUCGUGUCGUGAGAUGUUGGGUUAAGUCCCGCAACGAGCGCAACCCUUGUCGUUAAUUGCCAUCAUUUAGUUGGGCACUUUAACGAGACUGCCGGUGACAAACCGGAGGAAGGUGGGGAUGACGUCAAGUCCUCAUGGCCCUUAUGGGUAGGGCUUCACACGUCAUACAAUGGUCGGUACAAAGGGUUGCCAAGCCGCGAGGCGGAGCCAAUCCCAGAAAGCCGAUCGCAGUCCGGAUUGCAGGCUGCAACUCGCCUGCGUGAAGUCGGAAUCGCUAGUAAUCGUGGAUCAGCAUGUCACGGUGAAUACGUUCCCGGGUCUUGUACACACCGCCCGUCACACCAUGGGAGCGGGUUCCGCCAGAAGUAGGUAGCCUAACCGCAAGGGGGGCGCUUACCACGGCGGGGUUCGUGACUGGGGUGAAGUCGAAACAAGGUAGCCGUAGGGGAACCUGCGGCUG